UUAAGCUGCAUUAGUGAAAACAGACAAUGGUACACUGUUCUAUAAUUCUGCUCUUUGUCUUCACAUGUACUGUGUAUGGAAAUGAAAUCAGACCAACUAAAACUGAGGAGUUUGCAGUUGAGGGUUCAAGUGUUAUAUUAUCCUGCAGUUAUUCAUCUGCACGUUCUUUAUUCUGGUACCGUCAGUAUCCCGGAUCAGCUCCUGAAUUCCUUGUAACCAUCACAUAUCGAGCAACAGAAGCUAAGAAUUCUGAUGUAGAUCCCAGAUUCACUGCUAAACCCAACAAAGAAAAGCAAAACCAUGUGGAUCUGGAGAUCUCCUCUGCUAAAGUGACAGACUCUGCUCUGUACUACUGUGCCCUGACGCCCACAGUGACAGGAAACACAAGAACACUGUACAAAAACCUGACACAUCUGAGGAGACAAAUGUAUUUAUAG
This is a non-coding RNA of Carassius auratus (goldfish), 437 nucleotides long. The record is from the annotation of a RefSeq genome assembly. Lineage: Eukaryota; Metazoa; Chordata; Actinopteri; Cypriniformes; Cyprinidae.